ACCUAAACCCUAUGUUCUUCAACUAAUCCUCCCUUUCUCUUAUAAUUCCUCUUGGAGCCAUCUUGGAGCAUGGAUCUUCAUAUCUUCCCUCUCCUUUCAUUGUAGAAUCAAGGUUGCUGCAAAUCUAAAUGGAAUCCAGUUUUCAAGCUGAAGAAAAUGCUCUUGAGAUUUGAAGUUGGCCAUAUAUUUCCAGACUGUGCAAAGUUAUUGGAAUUGCUACAGAAUGAUGUGGAACCAUGUAAUUGACUUAUCAACCUAGAAUCUCAUAACAUUCAAAAACUUUUGAUGACCGUUUCAAAUGCGGUUGUAGAGAUUAUCCCAAGAGGUUGGAACAUUUUAGUGGAUUGUAUAGUUGUCCUAGGUCAUCACUCUCCUAAACUUCCCCUUUUUCAUCAAGUUUGGGAUCUCCCCAAUUGGUUGAUGAAGUGUUGCAACUCGUCAAGAUUCUAUUUUGAUUAAUUUCUGCUCUCUAGUUCCUAAUAUACUAUGUAGCUCUCUUAACAGAA
Dioscorea cayenensis subsp. rotundata (Guinea yam) is the source of this 506-nucleotide long non-coding RNA. RefSeq lists it as uncharacterized. The transcript has 2 exons. NCBI's taxonomy places the organism in Eukaryota, Viridiplantae, Streptophyta, Magnoliopsida, Dioscoreales, Dioscoreaceae. The record is from RefSeq and is a predicted model, not a curated record.